AGAGUUGUGGCCGAGUGCUUCUCGUCCUGCAAAAGCAAAAUGCAAAUAAUGCCGCUAAGAGAAACAGCACUUUGAAAGCUGUUGUUCAUGGGUGUAUCAGACAACAUCCUGAUUAAUUCAGGCAUGACGGGAUUACUGAUGGCAUCCUCCCCCCCACAGCACUAAAGGUGACCCUGCUAACAUUGCUGAGUCUACAAACCCAACGUCCUCAAAGUCAUUCUCCCACAUCCACGCUCGAGUACCAGAGGAGAGGGAACAUUUCUCUUUUUUAAUCAAAUGAUGUCACCUAAUGAGCACUCUGGCAUAUGCCUGCAUCGUCCAGCACGGCCACCGGAUACAAAUGGACACUGCACACUGUCACGGCCCCACAGGGGGAACAAGAUCUGUAUCUUUUUUUAAUGUAAAGGAACACCUUCAGCACAUUUGGUAUGAGGAGUAAAGAAUCGUCUUUGAGCAUUGUCUGAAUGAGAGGACAUUGGACAGCAG
Long non-coding RNA from Alosa alosa (allis shad), 486 nucleotides. RefSeq lists it as uncharacterized. NCBI's taxonomy places the organism in Eukaryota, Metazoa, Chordata, Actinopteri, Clupeiformes, Clupeidae. The record is from RefSeq and is a predicted model, not a curated record. The transcript has 4 exons.